Molecule: ribosomal RNA, 437 nt
Filed under: uncultured bacterium
Lineage: Bacteria
Description: partial 16S ribosomal RNA
Rfam family: Bacterial small subunit ribosomal RNA
Source: RNAcentral
AGCGAGCGCUGGCGGCAGGCUUAACACAUGCAAGUCGAGCGGGCACCUUUCGGGGUGUCAGCGGCGGACGGGUGAGUAACGCGUGGGAACGUGCCCUCUGGUUCGGAAUAACUCAGGGAAACUUGAGCUAAUACCGGAUACGCCCUUUUGGGGAAAGGCUUGCUGCCGGAGGAUCGGCCCGCGUCUGAUUAGCUAGUUGGUGAGGUAACGGCUCACCAAGGCAACGAUCAGUAGCUGGUCUGAGAGGAUGAUCAGCCACACUGGGACUGAGACACGGCCCAGACUCCUACGGGAGGCAGCAGUGGGGAAUAUUGGACAAUGGGCGCAAGCCUGAUCCAGCCAUGCCGCGUGAGUGAUGAAGGCCUUAGGGUUGUAAAGCUCUUUUAUCCGGGACGAUAAUGACGGUACCGGAGGAAUAAGCCCCGGCUAACUUCGUG